Molecule: non-coding RNA, 739 nt
Organism: Pelobates cultripes (western spadefoot toad)
Lineage: Eukaryota; Metazoa; Chordata; Amphibia; Anura; Pelobatidae
Source: the annotation of a GenBank genome assembly
CUAGCCUUCGGUUCCCAUGUGCAUCAAUGAACCUUGGGCACCCAUGACCCUGACACCGGUUCAUUGGUUGUCCUUCGUUACACAAAUUUUAGUAGGUACUAAUCAUUGCAUACCCUGCAAGACUUGCUCUUUUGUGGAUGCUCUGACAUAGUCGUCUAGCCAUCACUAUUUGGCCCUUGUCAAAGUCACUCAUAUCUUUUCGAUUGCCCAUAUUUCUCUCAUCCAAAACAUGAAAUUCUAGAACUUACUGUUCACUUGCUGCCUAAUAGAUCCUACUACUUGACAGGUGCCAUUGUAACAAUAUAAUCAAUGUUACUCACUUCACCAGUCAGUGGUUUUAAUAUUGUGGCUGAUCAGUGUAUAACCAUAUGUAAUAAAAUAAAUCACCCCGUGAUUAUUAGGCUUGCUAACUUGGACAUUUCUACUUGCUACACAAAAAUUCCAUUAACAGCUGGCUGGCAGGCAUGCAGGAUGGGAGGCUUAAUUGCUAAAGUGGGGGAGGGAAGGAGCCAUUAUUGUUGAAGACAAAUUCAAUAUAAAGGAGAGGAAAAGAGCUAUAUAUCUGGGUAGGAGAUGAAAGCGGACAUUGUGGCAAUAAGCAAGAGUUGGUAUUUGAUUAUAAAUGAAUGUGAGUGGUAAAUGCAAUAGGAUGUUUUCAGAUUCACAUGGCCACUGUCACUAUUCAGAAAUACAUUGUUGCCAUUCAGCAAUGAGAAUGCUUAGUUCCUUCCCCAAAAAA